RNAcentral lists this ribosomal RNA (497 nucleotides) under uncultured bacterium. RNAcentral's name for it is "bacterial SSU rRNA". It matches the Rfam family "Bacterial small subunit ribosomal RNA", at positions 8 to 518 of the family's 1533-position model. The record is from RNAcentral.
AGAGUUUGAUCCUGGCUUAGGACGAACGCUGGCGGCGUGCUUAACACAUGCAAGUCGAGCGGAGAAUAUAGCAAUAUAUUCUUAGCGGCGGACGGGUGAGUAACGCGUGGGCAAUCUGCCUCAUACAGGGGGAUAACACUGGGAAACUAGUGCUAAUACCGCAUAAAAUAGUGAAGUGGCAUCACUUUACUAUCAAAGGAGCAAUCCGGUGUGAGAUGAGCCCGCGUCCGAUUAGCUAGUUGGAGGGUAACGGCCCACCAAGGCGACGAUCGGUAGCCGAACUGAGAGGUUGAUCGGCCACAUUGGGACUGAGACACGGCCCAGACUCCUACGGGAGGCAGCAGGUGGGGAAUAUUGCGCAAAGUGGGGGAAACCCUGACGCAGCAACGCCGCGUGAAGGAUGUAAGGUUUUCGGAUUAGUAAACUUCUUUGAGUUGGGGACGAUAAUGACGGUAACCCAAAAAACAAGCCACGGCUAACUACGUGCCAGCAGCCGC